UCUACCUUGAAACGUGGAAAACAAAAUGGACGACAAACAUACCCUGGUUACCAACCAAUGUUGCUCUACCUUGGUCAAAAGUAUGAUACGUGGACCAAACAUUCCACCAUCACUAGCACAAUGUUUACAUUGCUCUACCUGCUCUACUGUUUUCUUAUCCCUAUUCUACUACUACUACUACAGUAUUAAUGGGGAUGAAAGUUUUGUCAGAAAGGGUGCAAAAUACUUGCAUCCUUCAGAUGUGUAACAAAAUUUUGAAAAAGAGGUAAGUUAUUAUUUUUACAUAUUAUGAUAAUAAUCCGGCUUAUUCUUCAAUCUAUUUGAACGCCUCAGUGGUGCUUGAGGGGGUGGUGCAGGUGGUCCAUUUAUAACAGGUGGGAGUGCUGCUGGUGGUCCAUUUAAAACAGGUGGGAGUAGUGCUGGUGGUCCAUUUAUUACGGUUGGGAUAGUCCGAGAUUACUCUGACGUCCAACGGCUGUUUUGCCAGACAAGCUGGGGCCGUACGUGGGACGUCAGAGCUCGUCCCAUAUCAAAAAGUGGAUAUUUGCGCACCCAAAAUAGAUGCGCUGCUUCGUCGCUUCUGGUUCCGACUAACAGCCUUGAAAUUAUAUAAAUAAUGGCAACAGUAGUAUACCGCUGUUCAAAACUCAUAAUCCAGGGACAAUAAACAAAAUCGGGGUAACAAACUAAAACCGAGGGAAACGCAUUAAAUAUAAGAGAACAACGACAUAACACCGAAACGUAACACAC
RNAcentral lists this long non-coding RNA (750 nucleotides) under Mytilus galloprovincialis (Mediterranean mussel). The record is from RNAcentral. Lineage: Eukaryota; Metazoa; Mollusca; Bivalvia; Mytilida; Mytilidae.